RNAcentral lists this long non-coding RNA (206 nucleotides) under Carica papaya (papaya). Its description in RNAcentral is "long non-coding RNA (CPAP_LNC004193)". Lineage: Eukaryota; Viridiplantae; Streptophyta; Magnoliopsida; Brassicales; Caricaceae. The record is from RNAcentral.
AAUAACUUUUCCUUUAAAGUACUAUAAAUAUCUUAAUACACCAACUCAAACAAAUCAUCUUUCUUGAGAGGAGAAUGAUGUUUGAAUGAAGCUCUCUUAUAUUUUUCAACUAAAUCGUGAACACACAUGUCUAACCUUGCACAUUUCAAUCCUGAAAACAAAUUCUUUUUAGCUAGACAAUCAGGUCUCUUGUCACUGAUAAGACU